GGGCCCGUAGCUCAGCUUGGACAGAGCACCGGCCUUCUAAGCCGGGGGUCGCGGGUUCGAAUCCCGCCGGGUCCG
RNAcentral lists this transfer RNA (75 nucleotides) under Candidatus Altarchaeales archaeon. RNAcentral describes it as "Candidatus Altiarchaeales archaeon tRNA-Arg". It matches the Rfam family "tRNA". Rfam says of the family: Transfer RNA (tRNA) molecules are approximately 80 nucleotides in length. Lineage: Archaea; Nanobdellati; Candidatus Altarchaeota; Candidatus Altarchaeia; Candidatus Altarchaeales. The record is from RNAcentral.